RNAcentral lists this ribosomal RNA (301 nucleotides) under uncultured bacterium. RNAcentral's name for it is "partial 16S ribosomal RNA". It matches the Rfam family "Bacterial small subunit ribosomal RNA", at positions 509 to 807 of the family's 1533-position model. The record is from RNAcentral.
CAGCAGCCACGGUAAUACGUAGGUGGCAAGCGUUGUCCGGAAUUAUUGGGCGUAAAGCGCGCGCAGGUGGUUUAAUAAGUCUGAUGCGAAAGCCCACGGCUCAACCGUGGAGGGUCAUUGGAAACUGUUAAACUUGAGUGCAGGAGAGAAAAGUGGAAUUCCUAGUGUAGCGGUGAAAUGCGUAGAGAUUAGGAGGAACACCAGUGGUGAAGGCGGCUUUUUGGCCUGUAACUGACACUGAGGCGCGAAAGCGUGGGGAGCAAACAGGAUUAGAUACCCGAGUAGUCCCUGUCUCUUAUAC